This 75-nucleotide transfer RNA is filed under the name Vicinamibacteria bacterium. RNAcentral's name for it is "tRNA-Val". It matches the Rfam family "tRNA". Rfam says of the family: Transfer RNA (tRNA) molecules are approximately 80 nucleotides in length. Their secondary structure includes four short double-helical elements and three loops (D, anti-codon, and T loops). The record is from RNAcentral. Lineage: Bacteria; Pseudomonadati; Acidobacteriota; Vicinamibacteria.
AGGCACGUGGCUCAGUGGUAGAGCACUUCCUUGACACGGAAGGGGUCGAUGGUUCAAUUCCAUCCGUGCCUACCA